UAUGCAUACACGCAUUAUUAGUAUGUAUUCAAAAUGAUUUUUCCUGAAUUUUAUUAAUGUCUGGUGCAAACAUGCUGAAAAUAAGAAAAAUGAAAAUAUAAUUAUAGCUAGCCGCUAACAAAAUAAUGUAUUAACUAAAUGCUGGUGUUGCCUGGCAACCAAGCCCUGUUAGCUUAACCGGAAACCAGCCGCAGGUUAGCUCCAUUUCUUGUCAAGACAGCUAGUUUACUGACUUUACAUGGUUUUUAAUGAAUUGUUUGUUAUUAUAUGAGCAUGUUAUGGUGCUAUCAGAAACAUGAAGUCGCGGUCUCGGUUUAAGCGUACUGUUCCCGGUCCCGGAUGAUGAGUCUCGGCUCCAUGCGGCCAGGCGGGCGGAGGCGGAGAGCAGGCCCGAGGCGCGGGCGAGCUGAGGGGGAGGCGGCAGCAACACGCCUUGGCAUGCGAGAGGGGAAGAAGACAAGGGAUGCUGCUGCUCAUCUGCCUCCAUGCUGAUCUCCAUCCUGAGAGCCGUCCUUAUGUCAAGCUGAAAGGUAAUGACGAUCCCCUGAGGAAACAGCAUUCCACAUCAGUAGAGGAUGAUCAAAUGGACUUGUUGCUCUGCAGUGUUAAAUCCAGGUCAUGUAAUGAAUAAAGAUCCAGUGAAUCAUGCACAGAAUUUUUUGCUAAUUAUUUUUCAUGUCCAUUUUUUCCAGUGUGAGUCUGAAUUUUCGGGAACAGAAGAAAGAACAGUUCAUGGACAAAAAUAACUCACUUCCAUUAUUUGACAUUUUCAGCUGCAAAAACAAAAAAAUCUGUGUUUGGAAAGAAGUAAACUGUUAUUAACGAGUGUGUAUGAAGGUGCAGAGCUGGUCAUUGCAGAGUUGAGAAGUUAUUUUUCCUUUUACCUCUUCGAUGCACAGAGCA
Long non-coding RNA from Sphaeramia orbicularis (orbiculate cardinalfish), 903 nucleotides. RefSeq lists it as uncharacterized. The transcript has 3 exons. NCBI's taxonomy places the organism in Eukaryota, Metazoa, Chordata, Actinopteri, Kurtiformes, Apogonidae. The record is from RefSeq and is a predicted model, not a curated record.